Molecule: ribosomal RNA, 253 nt
Filed under: uncultured bacterium
Lineage: Bacteria
Description: partial 16S ribosomal RNA
Rfam family: Bacterial small subunit ribosomal RNA
Source: RNAcentral
UACGAAGGGGGUUAGCGUUGCUCGGAAUCACUGGGCGUAAAGGGUGCGUAGGCGGGUUUUUAAGUCAGGGGUGAAAUCCUGGAGCUCAACUCCAGAACUGCCUUUGAUACUGAAGAUCUUGAGUCCGGGAGAGGUGAGUGGAACUGCGAGUGUAGAGGUGAAAUUCGUAGAUAUUCGCAAGAACACCAGUGGCGAAGGCGGAACUCUGGGCCGGAACUGACGCUGAGGAGCGAAAGCGUGGGGAGCGAACAGG